GUGGAAUAUGAAUAUCCUUCAAUGUGUUUGAAAGUAACAAUAUAUUCACUCAGCCCAUUAAGGAAUUUCAGUUCAUCUCGUUCAUUCUCCUUACCGGUGCUAGCUUCCUCGGGAUAUCCUUUUCUUUAUAUUGCCCAGUUGACUUGACUUAACUAGGCUAUUGUUUUGUUUGUCAAUUUUCCUUUAUAUCUUCUAUUUUGCAGUUUAUGCUCGCUUGUGACUAUAUAAGUUUGUAAUUAUGCCUAUAUCAUAGGUGCUGUCAUUGGCCAUAUUGUUUUUAUUUCCGAGCUAUGGUGCUAGCAUUAGCUUUUCUAGUUGUGCGACCUAGUUUCUGCUUUGUAUCAGGUAUUUGCUUUUCAGAUGGAACUUUAGUUUGGAGUUAAGAGAGUAAAUAAAUUUUGUUCUCACUCCCAAUUUGUGAAACUUCAGUAGUUCAAAUUUAUCUCAAUUGAGUAAUAAUGCUACCCCGGUGAAUACUAAAUACACCAUUAUGCUACUGCUCAAGGCAUUUUCAUGGAUGUUUCUUCUGUGUUUUUAACUGUGAUGCUAUUCUGGUUUACCCCGGUGAUUUAAGUACAAAUUUGUACAGGAGAGAGCGCAUUUACAUCUUUGAGUCAAAUUUAACCAUUUUAUCAAGUUAAUUUAUUAGAUGCAUCAUAUUUUUGUCGAUUUGUGAGUGACAUGUAUAAAAGCUUGCGGCUGUGUCUUCCUAUCUCUCUGCUUGUGGCCGAUUCAUU
RNAcentral lists this long non-coding RNA (737 nucleotides) under Olea europaea subsp. europaea. Lineage: Eukaryota; Viridiplantae; Streptophyta; Magnoliopsida; Lamiales; Oleaceae. The record is from RNAcentral.